Molecule: long non-coding RNA, 163 nt
Organism: Centruroides sculpturatus (bark scorpion)
Lineage: Eukaryota; Metazoa; Arthropoda; Arachnida; Scorpiones; Buthidae
Exons: 2
Source: RefSeq, a predicted model, not a curated record
AUUACAUCGUUUCUUAGUAUAAUUACUUUAUCUGUGGAAUAUUCCAAGUUUAAUUACAGUAUAUCCAAUAAUAUCGCAUACACCGUCAGUCUAAUUUCUGUUUUCGUAUUCAUGGUAAUUUUUCUUCUUCUAAGCUUAAUUCUGUUAUAUGCCGUGACUAAGG